This is a long non-coding RNA of Hyalella azteca, 1126 nucleotides long. RefSeq lists it as uncharacterized. The record is from RefSeq and is a predicted model, not a curated record. The transcript has 3 exons. NCBI's taxonomy places the organism in Eukaryota, Metazoa, Arthropoda, Malacostraca, Amphipoda, Hyalellidae.
UUCCGCGAAGUAUUUUACAUUGAAAUUAUAAACUUGGGGUAAAUUAUAUAGAUCUUACCCUAAGCAUGGCUGGCUGGGAGUACCAGCUGGGGAAUAUAGGAGCCUUUACGGGGGGGGGGGGAAAUAUAAAUCCCCCGCAAUUAGGGAGCACUGGUCACCCGACAAUGGGUUAGACCAUAAACGCGACCCCGACAUCUCCCUACAACUUGAAGUCGGGGUUCGCUCAACCCCUGACUGCACCCACUGGUUUUAUGACUCAACCCCCACAUGCACUCCUCGGGUUUGGGGCUCAACCCUCUCAUGCACCCACAGGUUUUGGGGCUCAACCCUCUCAUGCACCCGCUGGUUUUGGGGCUCACCCUCUCAUGCACCCACUGGUUUUGGGGCUUAACCCUCUCAUGCACCCACUGGUUUUGGGGCUCAACCCUCUCAUGCACGCACUGGUUUUGGGGCUCAACCCUCUCAUGCACCACUGGUUUUGGGGCUCAACCCCCGCCUGCACUCCCUGGACAUGGGGUUCAACCUUCCCCCAACUUGGACAUUGGGGGAAAUUAUGUCGGUUUUGUCCCGAUUUCUUCGAACAUGAUUUUCAAAAGGGGGACGAAACCGAAAAUUUAAUCGAAAGUUUGCAUGAUAUUAAUGAUACGCGACCGUACAAUGGCGGUAGGGGAAGAAUGAUGUGAGGAGAAAUAAGUACAAAUCUCGAGAUUCUACGGAAAAUUUGAUCAAAGUGAGCGUAAACUAUUAAUUAAUUUAUUAUUAUUAAACAAUACAAGAUUUAACAAUGAUGUUCACCAAAUAAUCGGCACAAUUCUUCACAAACCCUCGAAAAGCUUUCGUAAAAUCAACGUGAAUCAACCAACGUCGUUGUGUCGGAAGUUUUACGUCAACGCUAGUCGCAGGAGACUCGAUUUCAAGCGAAUACACAAUAAUACCACAGCUUCAGGCAGUGGUCCUCUGAACAGAAAAGCGCCCAGAAACACAAAAGCGGAGAAGUAAAGAUGCACAUCGACCGAGCAGGAGCGAACUUCCCCAUCCGCUCCCUGGCCUAGAACUCGUCCAAAUUGGCAAGGAGCGACCCUUGGGCUUCGACCCCUGCUGUGUGAGCUACUUCAGCAAGUGCGAG